This 301-nucleotide ribosomal RNA is filed under the name uncultured bacterium. RNAcentral describes it as "partial 16S ribosomal RNA". It matches the Rfam family "Bacterial small subunit ribosomal RNA", at positions 509 to 809 of the family's 1533-position model. The record is from RNAcentral.
CAGCCGCCGCGGGAAUACGAAGGGGGCUAGCGUUGUUCGGAUUUACUGGGCGUAAAGCGCACGUAGGCGGAUCGAUCAGUCAGGGGUGAAAUCCCAGAGCUCAACUCUGGAACUGCCUUUGAUACUGUCGAUCUGGAGUAUGGAAGAGGUGAGUGGAAUUCCGAGUGUAGAGGUGAAAUUCGUAGAUAUUCGGAGGAACACCAGUGGCGAAGGCGGCUCACUGGACACGUAUUGACGCUGAGGUGCGAAAGCGUGGGGAGCAAACAGGAUUAGAUACCCGCGUAGUCCCUGUCUCUUAUCC